This 230-nucleotide long non-coding RNA is filed under the name Brassica napus (rape). RNAcentral describes it as "long non-coding RNA (BNAP_LNC019642)". Lineage: Eukaryota; Viridiplantae; Streptophyta; Magnoliopsida; Brassicales; Brassicaceae. The record is from RNAcentral.
CCAUUGGGUUUUCUUUGGUGAGGUUUUUAAUGAGGAAGAUCUUGUAGCUUUCCAAGCUUAGGCUUUCACAAAGCUAAGCUUGAGGGGGAGUGUUGAGUUGAGUUGAUUAUAUUGGUAUGGAGAGAAGAGGAGUUGAAGAGGAGAAGAGAUGGAGAAGCUUGGGGAGUUUUGGUAUGAAUGGUACGGACGGCCGUACAAGGCCGUACAUGGCCGUACCGUCCGUACCAAAG